GUGCCAGCAGCCGCGGUAAGACAGAGGGUGCAAACGUUGUUCGGAAUUACUGGGCGUAAAGCGUGUGUAGGCGGCUUUGCAAGUCGGAUGUGAAAGCCCCGGGCUCAACCCGGGAAGUGCACUCGAUACUGCAGAGCUUGAGUAUCGGAGAGGUUGGUGGAAUUCUCGGUGUAGAGGUGAAAUUCGUAGAUAUCGAGAGGAACACCGGCGGCGAAGGCGGCCAACUGGACGAAUACUGACGCUGAGACACGAAAGCGUGGGGAGCAAACAGGAUUAGAUACCCUCGUAGUCC
Molecule: ribosomal RNA, 292 nt
Filed under: uncultured bacterium
Lineage: Bacteria
Description: partial 16S ribosomal RNA
Rfam family: Bacterial small subunit ribosomal RNA
Source: RNAcentral